Molecule: ribosomal RNA, 207 nt
Filed under: uncultured bacterium
Lineage: Bacteria
Description: partial 16S ribosomal RNA
Rfam family: Bacterial small subunit ribosomal RNA
Source: RNAcentral
CAUGUAGGCGGAUUAAUAAGUUUGAAGUGAAAUCCUAUAGCUUAACUAUAGAACUGCUUUGAAAACUGUUAAUCUAGAAUGUGGGAGAGGUGGAUGGAAUUUCUGGUGUAGGGGUAAAAUCCGUAGAGAUCAGAAGGAAUACCGAUUGCGAAGGCAAUCUACUGGAACAUUAUUGACGCUGAGAUGCGAAAGCGUGGGGAGCAAACA